UUUUCCGUUUGAUCCUGCCGGACCCGACUGCUAUUUGGGUGAGGAUAAGCCAUGCAAGUCGAAUGGGAUACCUAAAUUUCCCAUGGCAAACUGCUCAGUAACACAUGAUCAACUUACCCUAUGGAGAAAAAUAACCUCGGGAAACUGAGGAUAAUAUUUCAUAGUUGAAUAGGCUUGGAAAAGUUUUUCAAUAAAAUGGAUGAGAAAAAUGGUUCUUUUCCGCCAUAGGAUAGGAUCGUGGUCGAUUAUGGUUGUUGGCGAGGUAAAGGCUCACCAAGCCGAUAAUCGAUAGGGGCCGUGAGAGCGGGAGCCCCGAGAUGGGUACUGAGACAACGACCCAGACCUUACGAGGUGCAGCAGGCGCGAGACCUCCGCAAUACACGAAAGUGUGACGGGGUUACCCAAAGUGUUCAUUUUUGAACUGUGGUAGGUGAGUAAUGUUCCCUACUAGAAAGGAGAGGGCAAGGCUGGUGCCAGCCGCCGCGGUAAAACCAGCUCUUCAAGUGGUCGGGAUGAUUAUUGGGCUUAAAGUGUCCGUAGCCGGUUUAGUAAGUUCCUGGUAAAAUCAGGUAGCUUAACUAUCUGUAUGCUAGGAAUACUGCUAUACUAGAGGGCGGGAGAGGUCUGAGGUACUAUAGGGGUAGGGGUGAAAUCUUAUAAUCCUUGUAGGACCACCAGUGGCGAAGGCGUCAGACUGGAACGUGCCUGACGGUGAGGGACGAAAGCCAGGGGAGCGAACCGGAUUAGAUACCCGGGUAGUCCUGGCCGUAAACGAUGCAUACUAGGUGAUGGCCCGGCCAUGAGCCGUGUCAGUGCCGUAGGGAAACCGUUAAGUGUGCCGCCUGGGAAGUACGGUCGCAAGGCUAAAACUUAAAGGAAUUGGCGGGGGAGCACCACAAGGGGUGAAGCCUGCGGUUCAAUUGGAUUCAACGCCGGGAAUCACUAGU
Molecule: ribosomal RNA, 947 nt
Filed under: uncultured archaeon
Lineage: Archaea
Description: bacterial SSU rRNA
Rfam family: Archaeal small subunit ribosomal RNA
Source: RNAcentral